AAAUACAAAUAAUUCUCAAAAGCUCACUGAAAAUGUCACUGAUUCCAAGGAUCUUCGGCGAUCGACGAAGCAACAGCAUGUUCGAUCCCUUCGCAAUGGACGUGUUUGAUCCAUUCAGGGAAUUAGGCUUCCCAGGUUCCAGUUCAAGGGAGACCUCUGCAUUUGCCAACACUCGAAUCGACUGGAGGGAAACUCCUGAGGCACAUGUGUUCAAGGCUGAUCUUCCAGGGCUCAAGAAGGAAGAAGUGAAAGUGGAGAUCGAAGAGGAUCGUGUUCUUCAGAUUAGUGGAGAGAGGAACGUGGAGAAAGAAGAUAAGAAUGAUACUUGGCACCGAAUGGAACGCAGUAGUGGCAAAUUCAUGAGAAGAUUUAGACUUCCUGAGAACGCAAAGAUGGAUCAAGUUAAGGCAUCUAUGGAUAAUGGAGUACUUACUGUCACCGUCCCGAAGGAAGAAGUGAAGAAGCCUGAUGUCAAAUCCAUUGAGAUCUCUGGUUAGACAUGUUGGUUGAAAGUUUCUAUAUGUAGAUAUUAAGGUGUGUAUUGUGGAAAAGUAUGGAGCUUUUGGUGUGUGUCUUGUGCUAAGUCCUCCCUUUUUGGCUAUCAUCUGUUUGAUGUAUUUACCUUGAGAACUCUGUAUGUGAAAAAUGUUGUAGUACUAAAUAAUAUAUUUCAUUUCUGGUAUGAUUCUGCGAUCUGUUCGAAUAUUUUAUGUUGUUCUUUCCGCCCUAUUUUCACACCCAGUCUUCUGCGUAAUCAAACACGGAACGAAAAAAGUAAAGGAAUGGCCUAAAAUUUAUUUAUCAAAUGUAUUGAAGAGUGUGUAGGGUAAUAAUCGAAAUUAUCAAUUUAGUAAAGGUUGAAGACUCUCUAACUCCUGCUGUGUUUCCAGAAAUACUAAUGGAAGUAUCUCGAAAGCGUCAAAUUUUAAUUGUUUAAAAAUUAUAUGUGAUUAAAUUGAGUUUUGUCCCUGAUUUAAUCAGCUCCAUACUUGAAGAGACUACAAUGGCUGAGCUCCAUACUUGACAUGAAUGCUAUUGUAUUUGCGACUAGGUAGGAAUCACUUGCACUUGAUGCAUGGUAGCAUUCCUCCAAACCUUGGAAACCUCUAAUUUCUCGUCUCCUUCAACAUCAGUAACAACAAUUCCCAUGGUUAUUUCCCCGCGGAGUUGGCUCAUUUACCGAUUGAUAGCUCAUCCACUGAUUCAUUGAUUGCUCAUCGAAUAAUUUCAGUGAUGCCAUACUAUUAUUUUUAAGUUUGUUGCCAAACCUACGCUUUGUGCAAAACUCGCGCAACAAAUUUUCGGGGACAAGGCCAUCUCCCCUUCCAAUCUGACAAAAGCUGGAAGAGUUGAGCUUGCAGGGAAAUUUUUUCCCUCGAGAAAUCAGUGAUCUUAGUUAUUUGAUAGUCUUAAAAUACCAUCGAUCUUUAAUGUUACAACGGUGCAAGUAAUUGCUCUUUCCGGCAACACUUAUUUAGCUUCACAACUAUAUAUAUCGACCAUCUUCCAAAAUUGAAAGGAUUUUGCCUCUAAGAAACUCCCUAGAUGGAAUUAUUCCACCAAACCUGGAGAAAUACAAGCUUCAAAUUGGAACUGUGCCCAAGGGGUCUUUUGGUAGGAUUGUGAAAAAAUAAUAUAAAAUAUGAUUUAAUGAUAAUGCUUAUCAAUAUUAAUUAACGCUUAUAGUUUUCUAUGCAGUGUUUGAUAUUAGUGUACAUGAAUGACAUAAUUUUUAGAGAAAAAAAUUGUUUACAAAAACAUCCCCAAAGAUAUGGUGGAAAGUGGAAAGAAUGUUAAAACUUUUUUUUUUUGAGGGUAAUUAUUUUUAAUUAUGCUAAUGCAUGAAUUAAAAUUCACUAAUAUAGAUUUAAGAAUAGAGUGUAUAAUUAAAAUAAAAAUUAUUUAUAUAGAUUAGAAAAGGUGAAACACAUAGAUAGUCUCUUAAAUUUGUUGAUUUUCUGUGUUGGGGUCUUAAUUGUGUAUUGAAUUCCUAAGUCUUCCAUAAACUGAGUCAAUUAAACACAAUCCUCUGACGUGACACAUUUUUUAAACUUAUAUUGUUAUGAGUUGUGUGUGAAUCAAACUCGCGUGAAAAUUUUAACCAAUCAAAAAACUACAUCCAUUUUUAUUUUGCACUUCAUCUUCUAAAAAGAAAAUCCAAUAUUUCAAUAACCAUAUUGAUAAGAAAAUCCAAAAUUUCAAUAAUCGUAUUGAUAUUGGUGCAUCUUUUCGAAGGUCCAACAUAUAUUGACUUUAUCAAUUUUAGGUACUUGUGAAUCAUUUGAAUUUUUUGCGGAAGAAGAAUCUACAAUUUUAAAUUUUUCCGAUUUUAUUUUUCUAACCCAAAAAGAAGAUUCAAAACUUAGGAAUCGAUAUGAGAAUCGAAAUCACAGAUUGGGGUUUUGAGUUAGAAUAUUGGAAUAACUUUUGAUUUGAAAAAACACCUCUUUUGAAAAAGCUUGUUGAAUAGAAACUGACUUGGAGGAGUUGUCUUAUUUGGACGUUAGGCACAAUGAAAAUCAAAUCAAAGAACGUAUUAGCAUUGUCAUUUAAGGCCAACAAGUUCAUUUGGGUCUUCAAACUUGUUGACAAAUUUGAUGUUCAUAUGAAAAAAUUAAUCAAAUAGCUUGUUAUGGCCCUUCACUUUAACCACUUUCAUAAAGAAUGAAGGGAGUCGAAGAUUUAAUGGAUCUUCUCUGAUCUUAAAUUUGGAGUUGAAGAUGAGGAAGAGAGAAAGAGGGGAAAAUUAAGUCCAAAAAGCUAGAAGGGGGGAAAUUAUUAUUAUUGCCAAUCCACACACGGUCAAAUAACGUGAAGCUACACGAUAUGUACGAUGUCAGAUAAAAAAAUUUAAUAGACAGUACUUUAUAAGAGGUUCAAGGGCUUAAUAGCAAUAUGACCUUAUUAAAGUGUCAAUACUUUAAAAAAAGAAAAUUACAAAGUUAAGGACCCCUUAAUAUUAUCAAAUAAAGUGUUAAUAAGAUAAAAGAUUAAAACAAACAUUCUUCUUCUAAUACACUCUAUUCAAGUGACCCUUUACAGAAUUACAUACGGAAGCUCAACAUUUGGAAGGUGGUAUGAUAUUUUCGUACAGGAGACGAAAGUUUUUCGCCUUUCCUCUCUUCCGCCAAACUGGUAAGCCGUACAUUGAACAAUGAACAAAGUCGUAGAAAGUUAAGACGGCUGGUAAAAUUGGGCCACGAAUCAAGUUGUAAUAGAAGGAAGCCCAAUUUAUAGAGAUCACUUGGGUGUAUCUGUAAUGGGCCUAGAGGGAAUUGUCCAGAAAGUUCCCGACAUCUGCCUCUGGAAUUUCUACUUGACUCUAGAAAUAUCUCUCUAUGGAUGAUAAUAAACUUAGAAGUAAGGAGAAAGUGGUGGACACUCCUCUACGAAACUAUAAAUACCCACCAGCUCCUCUUUCGUAAACGAUGAUCGGAAUUGAAUCAAGCAAUCAGGGAACCAAGCAAACAAAGAAAAUUCAAGCUCACUGAAAAUGUCGCUAAUCCCAAGAAUCUUCGGCGAUCGACGAAGCAGCAGCAUGUUCGAUCCAUUCUCAAUCGACAUGUUUGAUCCAUUCAGGGAAUUGGGCUUCCCAGGUUCCAAUUCAAGGGAGGCCUCUGCAUUUGCCAACACACGAAUCGACUGGAAGGAAACACCCGAGGCGCAUGUUUUCAAGGCCGAUCUUCCAGGGCUUAAGAAGGAGGAAGUGAAAGUAGAGAUCGAAGAGCAUAGGGUACUUCAGAUUAGCGGAGAG
Molecule: long non-coding RNA, 3754 nt
Filed under: Capsicum annuum
Lineage: Eukaryota; Viridiplantae; Streptophyta; Magnoliopsida; Solanales; Solanaceae
Description: long non-coding RNA (CANN_LNC009144)
Source: RNAcentral